Molecule: ribosomal RNA, 409 nt
Filed under: uncultured bacterium
Lineage: Bacteria
Description: bacterial SSU rRNA
Rfam family: Bacterial small subunit ribosomal RNA
Source: RNAcentral
UCGAGGAUCUUCGGCAAUGGGCGAAAGCCUGACCGAGCGACGCCGCGUGAGCGAUGAAGGCCUUCGGGUUGUAAAGCUCUGUCGGGGGGGAGAAAGGGCAACUUGAUCGACCCCCGGAGGAAGCACGGGCUAAGUUCGUGCCAGCAGCCGCGGUAAGACGAACCGUGCGAACGUUAUUCGGAAUCACUGGGCUUAAAGGGCGCGUAGGCGGGUCGUCAAGUCAGGGGUGAAAUCCCGCGGCUCAACCGCGGAAGUGCCUUUGAUACUGACGGCCUCGAGGGAGGUAGGGGCGUGUGGAACUUCCGGUGGAGCGGUGAAAUGCGUAGAUAUCGGAAGGAACGCCGGUGGCGAAAGCGACGCGCUGGACCUCUUCUGACGCUGAGGCGCGAAAGCCAGGGGAGCAAACGGG